AGACUGCAAUCUACAUGAUUAGAGAGAUGCAUUUUCAUCACUGUGAGUUAUGAUGCGAAGUAAAAGAUCACUGUUGCAAUACUGCUGACUUUUUCAAGUGAAACAAAGUCAGUACUCGGUUAAGUCUUGUGCAAAAGUACUUUUACACACUACCCAUCCAAGAACUGAUCUGCUCAGUGACUUGUAAGCCCUGGGUUAUAAGGUGGUCAAACUAGAAGUACUUCGAAGCAACAACUACAAGGUUCUUGAGACUUUUAAAGAUUUGACUGAAGAAUACCUUAAAACUUUGAGUGUUUCCAACCACUCACUCUGGCAGCUUUCCCAGUCAUCCACUUCUACC
Molecule: long non-coding RNA, 340 nt
Organism: Nothoprocta perdicaria
Lineage: Eukaryota; Metazoa; Chordata; Aves; Tinamiformes; Tinamidae
Exons: 4
Source: RefSeq, a predicted model, not a curated record